This 664-nucleotide ribosomal RNA is filed under the name alpha proteobacterium M2T3. RNAcentral describes it as "bacterial SSU rRNA". It matches the Rfam family "Bacterial small subunit ribosomal RNA", at positions 38 to 748 of the family's 1533-position model. The record is from RNAcentral. Lineage: Bacteria; Pseudomonadati; Pseudomonadota; Alphaproteobacteria.
GGCGGCAUGCCUAACACAUGCAAGUCGAACGAAGGCUUCGGCCUUAGUGGCGCACGGGUGCGUAACGCGUGGGAAUCUACCCUUAGGUUCGGAAUAACAGUUGGAAACGACUGCUAAUACCGGAUGAUGACGUAAGUCCAAAGAUUUAUCGCCUAGGGAUGAGCCCGCGUAGGAUUAGCUAGUUGGUGUGGUAAAGGCGCACCAAGGCGACGAUCCUUAGCUGGUCUGAGAGGAUGAUCAGCCACACUGGGACUGAGACACGGCCCAGACUCCUACGGGAGGCAGCAGUGGGGAAUAUUGGACAAUGGGCGAAAGCCUGAUCCAGCAAUGCCGCGUGAGUGAUGAAGGCCUUAGGGUUGUAAAGCUCUUUUACCCGGGAUGAUAAUGACAGUACCGGGAGAAUAAGCUCCGGCUAACUCCGUGCCAGCAGCCGCGGUAAUACGGAGGGAGCUAGCGUUAUUCGGAAUUACUGGGCGUAAAGCGCACGUAGGCGGCUUUGUAAGUAAGAGGUGAAAGCCUGGUGCUCAACACCAGAACUGCCUUUUAGACUGCAUCGCUUGAAUCCAGGAGAGGUGAGUGGAAUUCCGAGUGUAGAGGUGAAAUUCGUAGAUAUUCGGAAGAACACCAGUGGCGAAGGCGGCUCACUGGACUGGUAUUGACGCUG